AUACUUACCUGGACGGGGUCGAUGGGCGAUCAAGAAGGCCCAUGGCCUAGGCUUGCGGCCCACAUUGCACGUGGUGGGAGCGCUCGUCUACCAUCUCCCCAAGUGGGAGAGUGGGCGUCAUAAUUUGUGGUAGGAGGGGGUACGCGUCCGCGCGGCCCCUGC
This is a small nuclear RNA of Phoenix dactylifera (date palm), 162 nucleotides long. RefSeq annotates it as U1 spliceosomal RNA. The record is from RefSeq and is a predicted model, not a curated record. Lineage: Eukaryota; Viridiplantae; Streptophyta; Magnoliopsida; Arecales; Arecaceae.